RNAcentral lists this unclassified non-coding RNA (236 nucleotides) under uncultured fungus. RNAcentral describes it as "partial contains 5.8S ribosomal RNA, internal transcribed spacer 2, and large subunit ribosomal RNA". The record is from RNAcentral. Lineage: Eukaryota; Fungi.
AACGCACAUUGCGCCUCCCUCAACGGGGAGGCAUGCCUGUCUGAGCGUCUCUUAACAAAUCCAUGGAGGUCUCUCUGACCUUCGUGUUGGGCCUCGCCUGUCCAUGGGCGUCGCCUCAAAGCGAUCGGCGCCAAGUGUCGAGUGGACGAGUCCCAUUAGGGCGUUCCUUCGGCUCAUGCCUCAUUUGUCUUGUAACAUCGGACCUCAGAUCAGGUAGGAACACCGCCUGAACUUAA